AAACCCUAGAUCUAAGUCAUUUCUUUUGAUUUUUUCCAUUUGCUUUCUUUUCUUUCUUUUGCAGCCGAUUAUCCUUGGAGACCCUAGCAAAACAUCACUUAGAUCGUCGUCAAAGCAACCGUCAAUACUCAAUCAUCUUUCACAUUGCAUCUCGUCGUCAGCACGAAGCCUAAGUCCAUCCACUACGGUACGGAUGUUCAAGCGCCGGAGCCAGCUAGAAACUAUUUCUGGUUGUCGUUGCCGUCGCCGUUGCGGCUUAACCAUCAGCUUGUCGAAAACCCUAGAUUUAAAUGGGUUUGGGCUUGUUAUUAAAAUUUGGUCUGGGUUUGUGAUUUUAUUGGCCUUGUAAAUCUUUUUGUA
This is a long non-coding RNA of Arabidopsis lyrata subsp. lyrata, 360 nucleotides long. RefSeq lists it as uncharacterized. The transcript is spliced from 2 exons. The record is from RefSeq and is a predicted model, not a curated record. NCBI's taxonomy places the organism in Eukaryota, Viridiplantae, Streptophyta, Magnoliopsida, Brassicales, Brassicaceae.